Long non-coding RNA from Prosopis cineraria, 991 nucleotides. RefSeq lists it as uncharacterized. The record is from RefSeq and is a predicted model, not a curated record. Lineage: Eukaryota; Viridiplantae; Streptophyta; Magnoliopsida; Fabales; Fabaceae. The transcript is spliced from 3 exons.
CAUGGAAGUUAUAGAGUUAAAGGAGUGUAAGAAGAUUACAAUAAAAGAUGUGCCUACAUGGAGGGUUAAUACGGCGACGUCAAGGAGGCAGGGGUGUAUGUAAGUUGAAAGAAAUUUCAUUUAGUGGUCAUGACUUUGAAGAUGGGGAGUCCUUCCCUGAGGAGGGCUUGCUAUCGUCCAGCCUCCAAUCUCUUUCAUUCUCAGGUUGUCACAGCUUGAGAAGAUUAAAUUGCAGGGGUCUUCUCCACCUCCAAUAUUCCCUUGCUUCCUUAUCUUUUCAAGACUGUCCAAGCAUGAGUUUUGAAGGCAUGCCAGAAAAUGGUUUCCCUCCAUCCCUUUCUCAUUUAUCUAUUGAAGAUUGUUCGUUGUUGGAGGAGAGGUUUAAAAAUCAGACAGCACUAGAUUGGCCUAAAAUUGCUCAUAUCCCUCAUGCCUCCAUACGUAGAGCUUGACUCUCAUUCUGCUCAAAGACAUUCCUAAAGCUACAGUCUCAAGUUUCCUGGAGCAAAACAACAUCAUUUAUUAAUACUGCUUAUUCUGGAAAAGCAUCAGACCAAAAAAGGGGGAAUUUCUGGCUUCAAUUUCAGAUUAAAAGAAAAGGCUCCUCAACCUCAAUUGAAGUAUUCAAACCAGCAUCAAUGGCUCAUAUACAUAGUACUUCUGCAGAAAUUAAACUAACCUUCCAGUUGAUUUUACUUGCUCCAUCUAGAUUUGGUUGGUGAUGGAGUACAUAACAUCGUGCGAUACAUAUAAUUGAUCUCAUAUAAUAAGAUAAGAUUUGUUGCUCUUGUUACAUUGUUGUAUUUCCUUCUGUCUAUUUUGUAGGAGUUGAUUGGUUUUUUUUCCCCCAUUUUUCUUUCGCCGGAACUUUCUUUGAUUUGUAGCAAGACUUUAUUAUUCAAUGUUGCCUUGUAAAGUGUCAUCACUACAUUUCAAGUGAUUCAUUGUCUUAAAAGUUUAUUUCUACGUUCUUAGUUAGAAGUUAGUAGUU